GGGUGCGUAGCUCAGUGGGAGAGCGCCUGCCUCACACGCAGGAAGUCGGCAGUUCAAUCCUGUCCGCGCCCACCA
RNAcentral lists this transfer RNA (75 nucleotides) under SAR324 cluster bacterium. RNAcentral's name for it is "tRNA-Val". It matches the Rfam family "tRNA". From Rfam's summary of the family: Transfer RNA (tRNA) molecules are approximately 80 nucleotides in length. Their secondary structure includes four short double-helical elements and three loops (D, anti-codon, and T loops). Further hydrogen bonds mediate the characteristic L-shaped molecular structure. tRNAs have two regions of fundamental functional importance: the anti-codon, which is responsible for specific mRNA codon recognition, and the 3' end, to which the tRNAs corresponding amino acid is attached (by aminoacyl-tRNA synthetases). tRNAs cope with the degeneracy of the genetic code in two manners: having more than one tRNA (with a specific anti-codon) for a particular amino acid; and 'wobble' base-pairing, i.e. permitting non-standard base-pairing at the 3rd anti-codon position. RNAcentral also lists the same sequence under 1 other name. The record is from RNAcentral. Lineage: Bacteria; Deltaproteobacteria.